Molecule: long non-coding RNA, 4101 nt
Organism: Aphis gossypii (cotton aphid)
Lineage: Eukaryota; Metazoa; Arthropoda; Insecta; Hemiptera; Aphididae
Exons: 7
Source: RefSeq, a predicted model, not a curated record
CCCCCAUGGAACACUUUACUUAGCGUUACGGGGUUUACCGAAAACGGAGCCCCGAGAUCUGUGGCGUAGGGAAAGUGGCGUCCCCAUCGCCCAAUACACAUGGUGUAUUGCAAUAGCCCUACCUCUGACUUUAAACGGUCGGGGAUAGUAUGGUUCGCUCUGGGGUUUAUUCGGAAUGACUGCAUAUUAGGUUAGUGCGAUAUGAGCGGCAAAGAGUGUUUCUCAGACCGAGGUUUAGUAAAGAGAAUUAACUCACAAUGCAACAUCAGUUUGUGCAGUAGACUAAUAAAUUCGUUGGCGAAUAACCGAGCGUCGCCACCUUUAUCAAUGUCAGCAAGACGAUGGACCACUGGAGAGUUCAUUGGAAAGACUCGUGUGCAUUCAAUGCGGAUAGCAAUGGACGAUGCAGACUUUCGACAUGUCUUCCAGAACUUCGAGACUGACGGAUACUUUUAGCGACAUACUGACUAAGUCUUGUACAAGGACCAGAAGCUCAUAAGAACGAAGAUUUAUCUAUGAUUACUCCAUCGGACGUAUAUCACAAGCAAUAUUUUCACCAUUUGUAAAUGAAUCGUAUGACAGCACUGGUUAUUUUAAAUGAUACGCCAAACCUCGUGACAAACUGCGUAACGUGUAGUUCUAUAAUGGGGUAAGCGAACACCUAUUUUAUUGACUAAUCAUCUGUUAACCGUGUGAACCGGUCAACGCUAUUCAAAACGUACCGGUAUUCUCGUCAAUUUGGUAGCUGACCAAGCGAGUGAAUAUGAUUAUGACUAAGACGACGAUCAGAUGGCUUGAAACAAUGAUUGGGUAUACUGUGUUCCUGUGGUCUACGCCUCAUCAAAAUUAUCUAUUUUUGUUUGAGGAUCAAAGACGUUUAAAUAGGGUAACAAUGAUUUAAAUAGAACCAUCAACCACUGAAAUAGUAAAGACACCGGAAAACAAUUUUACUAUUGCUUGCUUAGUUGUUGUGGAAGUGCACGUGUUUCGGCAACCCGAAACCCCGCAGUGUAUCGUAUACCCUACUUGCCCACCCUCCUACCCACCAACACAUUGUUCGGUCGCCGGCGAGAUAUUGUUGUCACCAGCGAGAUAUAUAGAUAUACUAGUAAUAUACAGGAUGGAAUUCACGGUUUGAUAAGUGGAUUGCAUUGGAUUCAAAAUAAAUGGUCUUUUACAAGGACCAGAAGCUUAUAAGAACGAAGAUUUAUCUAUAAUUAUUCCAUCAGUCGUCUACCACAAGCAAUAUAUCACCAUUUGUAAAUAUAAAAGAUGAACCAAGUGAUGGAGACAUAUCAGUGAAUAGUGACUGUAGAAGUAAAUUUAUAAAUGUGUGACGGAGAUAAUCAACUCACAAUUUAUGAUAGCAAUAGCCAUAUUCCUGAUUUUUAAAUGGUCGGGGAUAGUAAGGUUCGCUAAGGUAUUUAGUCGUAAGGACUGCAUUUGAGACUAGUGCGAUAUGAGCAGCACAGAGUGUUUCUCAGACGGUGGUUUAGUAAAGAGAAUGAACCCACAAUGGAACAUCAUUUUGUGCAGUAGACUAAUAAAUAAAUUGGCGAAUACUCUAACAUCGCCGCCUUUACCAACGUCAGCAGGACAUUGGACCACUUGAGAGUCCAUGAGGAAGUCUCAUGCGCAUCAAAUGCGGAUAUUUAUGGACAAUGCAGACUUUCGGCAUGUUCAUAGGCCUGCCGGUGGUUACGGGGUUUAAAGAACCAGGGGCCUUGACCUCUGUGGCGUAGGGAAAGUGGCGUCCCCAUCGCCCAAUGCACUUGGUGUAUUGCAAUAGCCCUUUAUCCACGGAUAUCUUCUAUCAUCUGCACAAAGUCGGCAGUCCAAAUGGCCGCCUAACGCACUACUAGAACACGUUCCUCGGUCCCACACAAAUUCAUUUUCGUGCACUCAUUUUAGACACUACGAAUGUCCAUGUAUCGCAGGAUGUUUUUCGUCUGGUUUCCAAGUAUUUUCUGGAGUAUGUCUCAAACAAUCAAGUUGCCACUCAUCGCAGCGUAUUGCAAAGUGAUCUCGUCCCACGGGCAUCCGUUUCCAUGGAAAUAUUGCACGAUUUCUAAUUGUCUUCUUAACGCAGCUUACAUGCACGAGACUUCAACCCAACACAAUGUUGUCCAUUUUUGUUGGCACAGUGAUGAUAAUUCAAAAGUCCAUGUACCUCAUCUGUAUUUUUGAUAUGCAAUUUUCGUUGACAACCGCUUUCGUGCGAUAAUUUUAGACGGUCCAUAUGGCCGCCCAUGUCGGCUCUCUAAUACGCUGUUCACGUUUUCCGUCGUCCGUCAUUGAACACAUACGUUAAGUAACUCAGAUGAUCCAAUGUCGCGUCAUACUCUGAAGGUAUCAUUAAUGUUGGAGAGUGCCAGUAGCCCCUGAUCGUUGCGAGCUAACUUCAAACCGUUUGCUUGUUAGUGAAACGCCGCUUUUUCGCAUUUACUGACCGUCACUUUGAUGCUAUUGGACAAACUAAUCACGUGCACACCUCAAAAACACGGGUUGUAUAUCGUUCAACUCAUCAGAAUCAUCGAUGAGUAUUUUCAAACUUGAUAUUUCGACAAUCGAUUUACAAUAGUUCCAUCUCUUUUGUUGCUGAAUUAUGCGUUUGUUCCAUUGUCAAUUUCUUUCAUCGUGGUUGUAUUUCCUAUUAAAUUGGCUCACCGAAGAGUUAUCAAACUUUGAUGAAGCUGGAAAAAUUAUCAGAGUAUUAGAUGAUUCUAAUUAUCGAAAAUGUUAUUCAUGUUCCUGUUCAUCACAGAGGCAAAGUCAUUCUGCAAAUUUUACCGGAUAUUCAACCCGACCAAUCACAACACGAUGACUUACAGAUGAUUCCAGGGAUCGUAGUCUCAUUGCCACGACUGUUAAGAUUAUUAUCAUAGAAGACCGUAUAUACCUAUUCAAACACUGGCUCACGGAAACUAUAUUAUAAAUAGGCGCAAGAUGACACCCCUGUUGAAGACAAUAACAAGAAAACAAUAUCUAGCAAGUGGAGUUAACGUAAAAUGCAGUAAUUCACAACAAAAAAGAGAUAGAAUUAUUAUAAAUUGAUUGUCGGGAUCUCGAAUUCGAAAAUACUCAUCGAUGAUUUUGAAGAGCAGAACGUUAUGCAGCCGGUGUUUGCAAGGUGCAGUUCGUAAUUUAUUUGUCCAAUAGCAUCGAUUUGAUGGUCAGUAUAUGCGAGAAGGCAGCGUUUCAAGGACAUGCAAACUGUUUGAAGCAAGUACGCCCCGAUCAGGGGCUCCUUGCACACUCUGUCAAUGAUAAUUCCUUUGGAAUGUGACCUGAACGUGGCCUUUGGUCAUUUGAAUUGUUUACUGUAUGCAUUCAAUAACGGUAGUCGGCGAUCGAGAACAGAGUGUUGGGGAGCCGACAUGGGUGGCUAUAUGGAUCAUCUAAAGAUUUUGCAUGAAAACAGAUGUGAACGGAAAUGGCUUAUUUAGAAUAUAGAUAAGGUACAUGGAUAGAAAUCCAUGAGAAGGAAUAUCACCACUAUGCCAACAAAAGUGGAAACCAUUGGGUUGAAGUCUCGUGCAUGUAAGCCGUGUUAACCGGACAACUGGAAAUCGUGCACUAUUUACAUGGAAACGGAUGCCCGUGGGACGAGAUCACUUUCCGAUAAGCUGCGAUGAGUGGGCAAUUGGAUUUUACGAGAUAUGCUUUAGAAAACAUCUGGGAACCAGACGAAAAAAUAUCCUGCGAAACAUGGACGUUUAUACUGUCUAGAAUAAGUGCACGAAAAUGGACGUCUGUGGGACGAACGAACGUGUUCUAUUACUGUGUUAAGCAGUCAUUUGAACUGCCGGCUUUGUGCAGAUGGUAGAAGAUAUCCGUAGAACAAGUAUGAUUUUUAUAGAUUUUUUUCGUAAAAAUAUUACAACUUUGCAUUUUAUAGUUGAUUAGAACAUCUUGUAUUCGAAUGUUAAAAAAGUAUAUUGAUUUCAUCAAACCAUUUAAAACAUGUAGUGUUUAAUUAUACUAUUAUUACAUAUAACAAUAAUGACAUUUAUAAGACUUUAAAAUCUCAAAAUUAUAUAAAUAUAAAAAAAAAUUAGAAAUUAGAAAUUCCAAUUAUAAUUGUUCAUUUGUAAUUUAUAA